This 209-nucleotide unclassified non-coding RNA is filed under the name Entrophospora drummondii. RNAcentral's name for it is "Claroideoglomus drummondii partial internal transcribed spacer 2". The record is from RNAcentral. Lineage: Eukaryota; Fungi; Glomeromycota; Glomeromycetes; Entrophosporales; Entrophosporaceae.
AAUAAUAAUUAUCAUGAAUCUUUGAUUUAUGGAAUUGGGCUUUUAUUUCUGAUAGAUCUAUGGCCUUAAAUUUACGGGCUUGUCAUUAUAAAAUCUGACCUAAAGGAGCAAUUAAACAUUCUCUCAUUAGCGGAUUUUUACAAGCUGUUAUGAUUUUUGGUUGCUGAAGCGCUUUUAUGAGUGUGAAACCAAAAUCGUAAGUUACUCUA